GACGAACGCUGGCGGCGUGCUUAACACAUGCAAGUCGAACGGAAAGGCCCCUUUGGGGGUCCUCGAGUGGCGAACGGGGGAGUAAGACGGGAGUAACCUUCCCUUGACUGCGGGAUAACUUCAGGAAACUGGGGCUAAUACCGGAUAGGAAUCCUUGCUGCAUGGUGGGGGUUGGAAAGCUUCGGCGGUUGUGGAUGGACGCGCGGCUUAUCAGCUGGUUGGUGGGGUAGUGGCUUACCAAGGCUUUGACGGGUAGCCGGCCUGAGAGGGCGACCGGCCACAUUGGGACUGCGACACGGCCCAGACUCCGACGGGAGGAAGCGGCGGGGAGUGUUGCACUAUGCGCGGCAGCCUGAUGCAGCAACGCCGCGCGCGGGAUGACGGCCUUCGGGUUGUAAACCGCUUUCAGCAGGGGCGAAGCUUGUGGUGACGGUACCUGAAGAAGAAGCACCGGCUAACUACGUG
Molecule: ribosomal RNA, 465 nt
Filed under: uncultured bacterium
Lineage: Bacteria
Description: partial 16S ribosomal RNA
Rfam family: Bacterial small subunit ribosomal RNA
Source: RNAcentral